UUAAAUCAAUCAAAGUGUUGAUCAGUUUGCUCUUGUUCUUUUGGUUUGCACUAGGAUGUGAAAGGAAAAGAAUCCCAGCGCUUUCUGUCUGUCUCUGUGGUAUCCAGGUUGAAUUUUUAAAAAUUUUU
Sorex fumeus (smoky shrew) is the source of this 128-nucleotide small nucleolar RNA. RefSeq annotates it as small nucleolar RNA SNORA31. The record is from RefSeq and is a predicted model, not a curated record. The transcript has a single exon. Lineage: Eukaryota; Metazoa; Chordata; Mammalia; Eulipotyphla; Soricidae.